Long non-coding RNA from Acipenser ruthenus (sterlet), 3660 nucleotides. RefSeq lists it as uncharacterized. The record is from RefSeq and is a predicted model, not a curated record. NCBI's taxonomy places the organism in Eukaryota, Metazoa, Chordata, Actinopteri, Acipenseriformes, Acipenseridae. The transcript is spliced from 3 exons.
AAUUUGAUGUAGUUGUCGUUGCCUGGGGAAGAGCAGGAUACGGUACGGCUUCACUGUUUGAUAGGAUGUAAAUAAAAACUCGGGACACCUUCAGAGAUUUUACUUAAGCACUUUUUCAAACAAUACCUGCCAGGGAAGAGCCAGGAAUGGAGUAAUGAAACCUCGGGUUUAUUCUUGAAUUGAUUUCUUAUUGUUAUUGUGAUUCUUGGUUUGUUAAUUAAAUUUUACAGUAAAAUAUUCCUAGCUAUUUUCAUCAUGACGCAGCGUAAAUGAGUCUGCCUUUAAUUUAAAAAUGCAGACCCUUUGUUUGCUAGGUCUGGUAAUCAGCUGCACAUUAAACGCAACACUCCUCCUCACAAGACCUCCGGCAGUCACGUGACAGUGCUGGGGACUAGGAGGAGGAGUUUUUUUCGUUUUGUUUUUCAGUCUGUGAUGAAAUUUGGUACGGGCAUUCAUUAGGGAGGUAACCAGAUCUUUUGUCAUCUUUGUCAUUGUAUGAGUGUUGGCCUCUGAUUAGCUGGGCUAAUGAAGGCUAUAGAACCAUUGGCCCAGAUUUGAUUAAACGUUACAUGGACAUUUGUUGCAAUAAGUUUAUCUUUGCAUGGGCAUUUAUUUUGAUAUAUUCUGCACGCUCUGAAAGUGGUCGUGGUGACCUAUUCACUGAUAAUUGUAAUGUGUAAUUUACAUCCUUGAUAGGGAUACAGGGUCAUUAUUGUUAACAGUAAACGGGAGUCUCCUGGUCAAAACGGGAGACUUGAAUUCCUGAAAUUAGGCCUUUUUAGGUCACUAUCUGCAGCGCCCAGUCAAAAAAAGAGACACAUCUAGGAUAAUAAUAUAAAAACAUAUAUAAUAUCUAGGGCUUCUAGAGUUCGGGUUUUAUUUUUGAUCACGUGAUGCACCUUUAAACAUAUUUUGAGCCGAUUCACUUUCUUAAUCAAACACUAAUCACCAAAGGAAGUUGAUUCUUUUUUUUCCCUCCUCAUAUCUUGAUUGAGUUCACAAACGACGUGCAUUGAGCUCCCCUGAUUCUAUUUGUCAUGCUAAAGAAUAACUAAGUGGAGAUCAAUGUAGAGGCCGUUUCUUUGAUGAAACAUUCAUCUGAUGCAGAAACCAUAAGGCAAAAAAUGAAAGAGCCAUUUUUAAUUAUCGCCAGAAAAUAAUUAACAAUCCUGAAAUGCCUGCCGAUUUCCUCACCGUUUUCUCACGGCUUCUUGACACACAAGGCCUGGUAUGUAUGCACAUAGCUUAAUUACAUUUUGUAUAUAAUCCAAUCAGCCUUUAAUUAGGCUGUUUAGAAAAUAAUGAGUAAAGGUGAGCCCAGCAGACUUCGAUAACAGGUAUAGUUAGUGGGUUAAACAAUACAUGUGUGAAUAUGUUUGACCACCAGUGGGUAGGAAUGAUGCAGAGAGCUACUAAUAGUAUUUAGAUUAACUACUAGAAAUCUAGACUGGUGCAAAAUGGUGGAGGGACUUUAUUAAACCUUAACAUCAGCAAUAAACACGUUUAUGGAUCAGAAAAAAAAUAAUAAUUGCAUUCACGUUUCAACACCUGGUUUUAGAUAUGGCUAAUUGGAUUUGCAUAAAAUAUGACUGAAGGGACUAGAGUAAAAUAUCAUCAAAUUAAAUGAGCAUAUAUGAAUAUUUCAUUCAUGGUAAGAAAACAAUACAGUCUCCUCUAUUGUGUGAAUCAGAUGACUAAUUGUGGCAAAUAUAACACUCUGCCAAGGGUGUUCUGACAUUUGGCUUUGACUUUGAAUUCCACAUCUUGCUAAUAGUAUACAGAAGAGAAAAAAAAACAUCUUAUUUAAAAUGCAGAUUGAACUGGACUUUGUGAUGAUGUUUGGAGACCAGUGUUGAGAAUACAGAUGGAGUUUCUCAAAUUCCAGCCAAAGGAAGAAAAAAGGCUGCAGGAAUUUGUCCUGUCCAAGCUGCUGAACAUCCUGUGAAUUUUAAAAAGGCAGGAACUAGUUUGGAAGAGCACUUUCAAAACAUUGACAGAAGUUCCCGACCUUACCUGCUGUCUGUUGGUGCAAAGAAAAACUGUAUCCACCAUUAUUUCAUUAUUGUGAGCAAACGGGCAACGUGUGAGGCUGAAAGCUCCCUGGGAUCAUUUGAUUGUACACUUCUCUGUCAAGCCUGCACACAUUCAUUCAGACUGCAGUCUACAACAUUGAUGUAGGCAACUUUAAAGGAAACCCUUGAGUGAGAGAACUAAGAGCUAGACUAUUCAACUGUAAACAUUUGAAAAGCACACAUGAAGAAAUGUUUGUAAAUAGUUUGAAUAAAAACUUUAAUGACGUUCAUUGUUCAGUACGUGACUUUGAAAAAGAGCCCACUACAAUCUUGACAAUUGAAUGUUCUGUUUCUAAUCGCAAGACUGUGGAUAUGUGUGCUUCUGGUGAUGCAAACAUCAGGUGCAGCUACAGACCACAGGUAUUGAUGAAAUACAAACUAAAAUUCAAGCUUGCUUUGACCAAAUUGAAAACCCUUUCACUUUUUUAAAUUCGGAAACUAAAUGGACUAAUUGUUUCACUCAAAAGUGGGAAAAAAUACUUGCAGUAAGGUUUGACGUACGACGCAACAAAACCACUGGAAACUAUGACCAGAUUCUAGUUACAGACAAAUAUGUCUACCUUCCAAUUCUCAAAACAAUACAAUCUGUUUUAAAAAAAAAUGCAGAUAUUUCUAAAGUGUUUCAGUCAAGUUACAAACAUAGAGAAGGUGUUUAUUAUGAUUUGAAUUAUGGAUCUUACUGGAGGAGGCAUGCUCUUUUUUUUUUCCUGGGAAAAAUAUGCAUUACAAAUUCAACUUUAUUAUGAUUCUUUUGAAAAUGCAAACCCACUAGGAUCUAAACGAGAGAUACACAGAUUGGGCUGCAUAUAUUUUAUUUUGAGAAAUUUGCCUCAUUGAAUUCAGUUCUAAUGAGUAUUCAUUUGGUUGUGCUUUUUCACACACAGGAUGUUAAAACAUACAGGCUUAAUUCUAUAUUGGAGACAGUCAUUAAUGACUUAACAAAUGCUAGACCACUGUAAACAGGUGUUGGAAAAUCCAACAUUGACAUCUGCAUUUGGUGUUAAACAAACUUGCUUGUUAAACUCUUGCAGUAUUUCCAUACAAGCGAAAAUUUUGCAACAGAUAUAAUGUGUAAUAUUCCUGAAGGGGUCGCACAAUACGAGCUAAAACUGGUAUUCAAGUAUCUACUGGAAAACAUUGUUUCUCCUCAAAAACUGCAUGACAGAAUUCAGAGUUACAAUUCUGGGUACUUGGAAAGAAAAAACCGUCCAUCAGGAGCUAAAUUAGAUGACAGCUGUAAUGAUUUAGGCAUAGAUGCUAUUCAGUCUUGGUGUUUACUGUCUACAGCUGUUGACACAGAUUGUAAAUAUUGUGUUCUCUCCGAUCUUAACAGAAGGUAUUACAGUUUCUUGGAAGCGUCUGAUUACAGAACAUCAUAAAUUGUUUACAGUGCUGUUUCCUGAGAUAAAUGUGUUGCUUAAUUUGAGCCGGAUCCUGCCGGAACAGGAUCCGGCACCUCUCAAAUUUGAUUUUUUUUCGUUCCGGCACCUAAUUUGCCCGGAUCCGGUACCUCUCGCGACAUGAUUUAUUAUUUUUCCCACUGUUUGCAUUGUAAAAAAUAUAAUAAAAGCGAUCAGAGUUAAAGUUG